This 124-nucleotide small nucleolar RNA is filed under the name Solanum tuberosum (potato). RNAcentral's name for it is "small nucleolar RNA snoR134". It matches the Rfam family "small nucleolar RNA snoR134", at positions 26 to 149 of the family's 149-position model. Lineage: Eukaryota; Viridiplantae; Streptophyta; Magnoliopsida; Solanales; Solanaceae. The record is from Rfam by way of RNAcentral.
AUACACGAACAACCUUUUUCUAAGCCCCAAAGCUCGUGCUAAAUUUAAUCGCCGCUAGUGUUGCAGUUUAUCCUUUUGUACCGUCUAUCCAUGGCUAAUUUGUAUCAAAUAAACGGCAAAAUCU